CCUGAGCCCUCGCCUGCCAAGGCUCGUCCAAAGCGCCCCUCGGCAGGGAGAAAUAGGCGGGCCGUGGCCUUAGAGACGCUAACAGCGUCAGUUGAAAUUGUAAACACGUCGUGGAGUUACUUCUCCACUCCAGUAAACAUCUCUCGGUUUAUUUCCCAUGCAUGUUGUGGUGCAGUCCCUUUAUGAGCAGUGCAGAGUAACAACAUAAGCCUCAUUCCCCAUCUCAGAAAAUUCUGCUUCCAUGUGAGUAUCUUUGUGGCUUAUAAAUUCAUGUGCAUGUAUCUUGCAGACAAUAGGUCUCAAAAGGCAAAGAUGAUUUAUGAGAAUUCCAUUUCCAAACAGCUAUGUUUUAGUGCAAUAUUUCAAUAAACAUACCAAGAAAAUUUCGAUAAACAAA
Molecule: non-coding RNA, 397 nt
Organism: Taeniopygia guttata (zebra finch)
Lineage: Eukaryota; Metazoa; Chordata; Aves; Passeriformes; Estrildidae
Source: RefSeq, a predicted model, not a curated record